Molecule: long non-coding RNA, 1029 nt
Organism: Daucus carota subsp. sativus
Lineage: Eukaryota; Viridiplantae; Streptophyta; Magnoliopsida; Apiales; Apiaceae
Exons: 2
Source: RefSeq, a predicted model, not a curated record
ACUCUACCUCAUUUCCCACCUCUUCUUUUUCCUUUCUCACUCACUUCUGCUCUGCUGUACCUUUUGUUUCUUGAUUUUGGUUCUGUAUAUAUAUUUGUAAGAACAUACUCUGCCUCAGGCUUCUUCUUACAUGCUUGCAGUUUCUCCUCUGAGAUGUACUGAAUGUCUAGUUUAGCCAGUUUGCCUGAAUCAAUAAUGCUGAAGCAAUCGCCCAGUAGGAAUCAAAGGUCGAAAGAGUUCAAGGUAAAACACGCUCUUCAGAUAUGUUUAUUGCUCGCCAUUUGCAUAUGGUUGCUGUACCAAGUAAGGCAAACAUGUCAGAGAAAGUUAGCGUCAGAGGAGAGCUUCGGGACUGCCAAGUUAAGUACUGACUUCGGAAUGUUAAAACUGGGGAGGAAGGGCUUAGAUCCUCAACUGCAGGAGAUCGUUACAGAUAUUAAAGGAACUGCCACUGAAGAUGCUGAGGUAGAAGGUAAGCUCAGGGAGAGCAAGGGAGAUAAUAUAGGAGUCGUAAAUGAUGAGAUAGAUGGACAAGAUCAGGAGAAGGACGAUGAGGAAGAGUCUGAGCAAUUAGAGGAUUUGAUUGAUGAAGAUGAUACCGAAGGGAAAGGGAGUGUAGAAAUUGACAGUGAUGGUGAAGACGUAGAUUUAAUCAGAUAAUCAGCACCAAUGCGCCACAAUAGAGUUCAAAUGAACUCCGAGAAGGCAGCAAAAGAAGAGACAUUAUAUAGGCAAAUAUGAUGCCAUUAACAAUACCAACAACACUACUUAUAGUAUAUGACUCCUGGUAUUCUUUGAGCAAUUAUCUGAUGUUAAAGAUGGUAGCGGGAUCUAAAAAGACUGCGUACAUCAGGACUUUCCUCCGCCCUGCUACGCAGGAGUCAGGUACAUUGAACUAUGAAGAUACAUAUACAAGAAUGCAUAAUGAAAGACCAACUGAACAUAGAAACUAUAGCGUUGUUCAGCAAUAAACUAAGAAUGUAGAAUAGUUUUGGGAAAUGAAAAUACAGAGCCUUGUGUUUUCUUGUU